UACAGAGGUCCCAAGCGUUGUUCGGAUUCACUGGGCGUAAAGGGUGCGUAGGCGGUUGGGUAAGUCUGUUGUGAAAUCUCCGAGCUUAACUCGGAAACUGCGUCGGAUACUAUUCAACUCGAGGAAUGGAGGGGAGACUGGAAUUCUCGGUGUAGCAGUGAAAUGCGUAGAUAUCGAGAGGAACACCAGUGGCGAAGGCGAGUCUCUGGACAUUUCCUGACGCUGAGGCACGAAAGCCAGGGGAGCAAACGGG
This 253-nucleotide ribosomal RNA is filed under the name uncultured bacterium. RNAcentral describes it as "partial 16S ribosomal RNA". It matches the Rfam family "Bacterial small subunit ribosomal RNA", at positions 524 to 776 of the family's 1533-position model. The record is from RNAcentral.